RNAcentral lists this ribosomal RNA (447 nucleotides) under Geobacillus sp. G19C017. RNAcentral's name for it is "bacterial SSU rRNA". It matches the Rfam family "Bacterial small subunit ribosomal RNA", at positions 95 to 526 of the family's 1533-position model. Lineage: Bacteria; Bacillati; Bacillota; Bacilli; Caryophanales; Anoxybacillaceae. The record is from RNAcentral.
GCGGCGGACGGGUGAGUAACACGUGGGCAACCUGCCCGCAAGACCGGGAUAACUCCGGGAAACCGGAGCUAAUACCGGAUAACACCGAAGACCGCAUGGUCUUUGGUUGAAAGGCGGCCUUUGGCUGUCACUUGCGGAUGGGCCCGCGGCGCAUUAGCUAGUUGGUGAGGUAACGGCUCACCAAGGCGACGAUGCGUAGCCGGCCUGAGAGGGUGACCGGCCACACUGGGACUGAGACACGGCCCAGACUCCUACGGGAGGCAGCAGUAGGGAAUCUUCCGCAAUGGGCGAAAGCCUGACGGAACGACGCCGCGUGAGCGAAGAAGGCCUUCGGGUCGUAAAGCUCUGUUGUGAGGGACGAAGGAGCGCCGUUCGAAGAGGGCGGCGCGGUGACGGUACCUCACGAGGAAGCCCCGGCUAACUACGUGCCAGCAGCCGCGGUAAUAC